Neodiprion virginianus is the source of this 1168-nucleotide long non-coding RNA. RefSeq lists it as uncharacterized. NCBI's taxonomy places the organism in Eukaryota, Metazoa, Arthropoda, Insecta, Hymenoptera, Diprionidae. The record is from RefSeq and is a predicted model, not a curated record. The transcript is spliced from 3 exons.
UUUUUACAAGCAUAUAGUGCAGUGAAAAGAAUCGCAAUAAAUGAAUUAAUCCUUCAACACCGCGAGACGUGAGUGGACAUUCUACAUGCGAUAGGUAAGAUGCAUGUUUUUGUUUUGCAGGUACGCCCGUCGCAUUGUGAAGUUAUUUCAAUGAAAAUAAUCAUUUGAAUAGAAAUGAAACUAGUAAUUAGGUUGAUCGGCAUGUUAUCAUUUGACUAUAUUCGUGUCUAACCGGGGACCGGCGCUAAAUUCACUCGUAAGAAACAAAAGACAAACUUUGUUUCCCAGAAUGCUUCGCAAAGACUGUUCUCCCGAAAGCGUUAAUCGAAUAAUACUGCCGGUGUUCUGAUCAGUGUAAUCGCGUUUUCCGAGCAGUUAUGUUCGUGUCGAAUUCAUCGCUCCUACGGUGUGUAAAGUGCAGGUGUGCAAGUGAUAGUUACUUUUGAGAGUUCGAUUUCAACGUAACUUAUUUACAAGUAUAUAGUGCAGUGAAAAGGAUCGCAAUGAAUGAAUUUAUCCUUCAACAGAGCGAGACGUGAGCUGACAUUCUACGUGCGAUAGAUAAACGAGCGGAGUUACUCACUGACAACGUCGAUGGUGAUGGUGUGAUUUAUGGAUCCCUGACUGUUUGUCGCCAAACACGUGUAUCUCCCUUUGUCGUCCUCAACAACGCCGUUGAAGUGCAAGUUAUUCCUCCAGCGAGUCUGCUACUACUCUCAUUCAAUGCGUGCGGGGGGAGCCAAAUACGCCUUUCUGUCAACGACGCGUCAGGAAGGAGUCGGGACCCUCCACACCACCAUCGACUGGUGACGCUGUAUAUUCAAUGGGGAAACACCCGCGGUUUUUAUCUCUGAUUGAAAUUAUCACAUUGUGAAGGGGUGGCCGGAAUUUACACUUUAUCUACUUUUCAUACCCCGUCUGAAAUUCUUCCUCAUACGUAAUCGCGGUUGAAAAGGUCACCAUUUGGUCUACCACCAACGAUUGGAAAAUUUUCAAUCCACUUAUAAAAUUAUCCUUUCACACUCAUGCUAAAAUCUUAUUGUAACGGCUACGAAACGAACAUAGUAAACGAGUGUCACAGAUUCCCCAUUUUCAUGUUCCGAAGUGUCUAAACAUGGUAACGAUCACGAUGUAAUACGCAUAGUAGCUGCUACCAUGUUCAUACGGU